CAACACCGUUAAACUAGGAAACUUUCCAUACCGGCUGUUAAAAUUGUCAAUAUCGCUGCCCUUUGAUCAUAAGAUAUAUCAUGUUAAACAAUCAUUAGGUUUCCAAAAUAUUUUAAUAUUCUAAAUUAUAUUUAAUAGUAUGGAUAAUCGAUUUAGAAGCUCUUUCAUUAAAAAUCAAAAAUAACUAAUGAGUACGAAUGCGAUCAUUACUCAUAAAAGUAUAACAACUGGGUAUAUAUAGAACUAGGCUACUAUGCUAUUAAUAGCACCAAGUCAUUGGUGCUCCAAGGUUUUGGCCAUUAGAUUAAGAGAUGUGCGGUUAGGAUGACGUGGGCCCCCUAGGGUUGAGUGGGUGGUUGGUUGAAUAGUAUGAUCUAACGGGUGAAAAUAAUCAAAAGGGUAGAUUUAACGGCGAAAAACUUGGUAGCACCAAGUGCUUCGUGCUAUUAAUUGCAUAGUAGCUGGACUCGGUAUAUAUAUAUAUAUAUAUAUAUAUAUAUAUAUAUAUAUAUAUAUAGAGAGAGAGAGAGAGAGAGAGAGAGAGAGAGAGAGAGAGAGAGAGAGAGAGAGAGAGAGAGAGGUUUUGGCCUCUACGCAGACAUUACUUAUUGGAGAUGGUAUAAUAGCUCUACUCAUCGAGAGAGAGAGAGAGAGAGAGAGAGAGAGAGAGAGAGAGAGAGAGAGAGAGAGAGNUUUUUUCGACAUAGUUACUUUAUGAUCAAACCAUUUCAAACUUGUUAAUUUUCAAUGGCUAUUAUGACGAGUUUGUAGUUUAAUGGUGUAGAAGAAUCUAAAUUUAUUCAAAUUUUGAUAGAAAAUACUUUAAACGAUCUAGAUCAAGGUCAUAAUCCUUGAUCUUGAAUUCAAAAGUUCUAUCCUCAAAUUUGAAAGAAUUUUCAAUUUCUAUUCUUCAUUUUGACAUGAUCUAUUUACUAAAUAAACGAUGUUUAAAAAAAUUAAAAUUUUAUUCCUAAGAACUUCAUAUACCCUAAAUUAUCUUUGACUGUGUGGAUCAUUGAUUUGAACACCCGAAGAUCGAGAACGGGACUUUAGUACCGGAGCUCCGGUACUAUUGAUAGUAUAGUAGCCUCAUUAUAUAUAUAUA
Molecule: long non-coding RNA, 1105 nt
Filed under: Ananas comosus (pineapple)
Lineage: Eukaryota; Viridiplantae; Streptophyta; Magnoliopsida; Poales; Bromeliaceae
Description: long non-coding RNA (ACOM_LNC007181)
Source: RNAcentral